CAGUAGCCACGGUAAUACGGAGGGUGCAAGCGUUAAUCGGAAUUACUGGGCGUAAAGCGUGCGCAGGCGGUUAUAUAAGACAGAUGUGAAAUCCCCGGGCUCAACCUGGGAACUGCAUUUGUGACUGUAUAGCUAGAGUACGGCAGAAGGGGAUGGAAUUCCGCGUGUAGCAGUGAAAUGCGUAGAUAUGCGGAGGAACACCGAUGGCGAAGGCAAUCCCCUGGGCCUGUACUGACGCUCAUGCACGAAAGCGUGGGGAGCAAACAGGAUUAGAUACCCCAGUAGUCCCUGUCUCUUAUAC
Molecule: ribosomal RNA, 301 nt
Filed under: uncultured bacterium
Lineage: Bacteria
Description: partial 16S ribosomal RNA
Rfam family: Bacterial small subunit ribosomal RNA
Source: RNAcentral